UACAGAGGUCCCAAGCGUUGUUCGGAUUCACUGGGCGUAAAGGGUGCGUAGGUGGUGAGGUAAGUCGGAUGUGAAAUCUCCGAGCUCAACUCGGAAAUGGCAUUGGAAACUACCUUGCUCGAGGGUUGGAGGGGGGACUGGAAUGCUUGGUGUAGCAGUGAAAUGCGUAGAUAUCAAGAGGAACACCUGAGGUGAAGACGGGUUGCUGGGCCAACACUGACGCUGAGGCGCGAAAGCCAGGGGAGCAAUCGGG
RNAcentral lists this ribosomal RNA (253 nucleotides) under uncultured bacterium. RNAcentral describes it as "partial 16S ribosomal RNA". It matches the Rfam family "Bacterial small subunit ribosomal RNA", at positions 524 to 776 of the family's 1533-position model. The record is from RNAcentral.